This 207-nucleotide ribosomal RNA is filed under the name uncultured bacterium. RNAcentral's name for it is "partial 16S ribosomal RNA". It matches the Rfam family "Bacterial small subunit ribosomal RNA", at positions 568 to 774 of the family's 1533-position model. The record is from RNAcentral.
UGCGUAGGCGGUUUCUUAAGUCUGAUGUGAAAUCCCGUGGCUUAACCACGGAACUGCAUCGGAUACUGGGAGACUAGAGUGCGGAAGAGGUUGACGGAAUUACUAGUGUAGCGGUAGAAUGCGUAGAUAUUAGUAAGAAGACCGGUGGCGAAGGCGGUCAACUGGGACGUAACUGACGCUGAGGCACGAAAGCGUGGGGAGCAAACA